This 225-nucleotide long non-coding RNA is filed under the name Elaeis guineensis (African oil palm). RNAcentral describes it as "long non-coding RNA (EGUI_LNC078523)". The record is from RNAcentral. Lineage: Eukaryota; Viridiplantae; Streptophyta; Magnoliopsida; Arecales; Arecaceae.
GUGUUGGGCAUCCCAUCUUCUCACACAUCCUAAGGUGAGGGUGUUUGCUUCUACAUUAAGAACGAGGAGAAAGACUGAUGUUCAAGUAUUGAGUUUGCAAUCAAAGAUUCAAAAGACUGAAAUCCUAUUUAGAGAAGAAGGAUCUACAAUGAGAAGAAAGAUUUAAGAUUGAUCCUAAUGGAUAUUUGUAGAGGCCAGAUAUGUGUGUGACUCAAGAACCUUCAG